RNAcentral lists this microRNA precursor (179 nucleotides) under Puccinia graminis f. sp. tritici CRL 75-36-700-3. Its description in RNAcentral is "microRNA MIR807". Lineage: Eukaryota; Fungi; Basidiomycota; Pucciniomycetes; Pucciniales; Pucciniaceae. The record is from RNAcentral.
AAGUGUCUUGACCGGAAGGGUUUCCUUCCGGUCGAUGAGGUAGAUGUACCUCAUCAAUCGGAGGGGUUUCCUUCCGGUUGAUGAGGUACAUGUGCCUCGUUGACCGGAAGGAAACCCUUCCGAUCAGCGAGGUACAUCUACCUCGUUGACCGGAAGAGUUCCUUCCGGUCAGGGAGGUA